CGUAGGUGAACCUGCGGAAGGAUCAUUCAUAAUAAAGUGUUUUAUGGCACUUUUUAAAAAUCCAUAUCCACCUUGUGUGCAAUGUUAGAUCUCGUCAAUCUUGGCGAGAUUUUUAUACAUCAACUCAUUUUUUAACUAAUUUGUCUGAAAAAUAUUAUGAAUACUUAAUUCAAAAUACAACUUUCAACAACGGAUCUCUUGGCUCUC
This 207-nucleotide unclassified non-coding RNA is filed under the name plant metagenome. Its description in RNAcentral is "partial contains small subunit ribosomal RNA, internal transcribed spacer 1, and 5.8S ribosomal RNA". The record is from RNAcentral.